Prunus mume (Japanese apricot) is the source of this 1121-nucleotide non-coding RNA. The record is from RefSeq and is a predicted model, not a curated record. NCBI's taxonomy places the organism in Eukaryota, Viridiplantae, Streptophyta, Magnoliopsida, Rosales, Rosaceae.
CUAGAAAAAAAAAAAACCAAAGAAACACAAAAAAAAACCCUAACUCGCUCUAUCUCAAGCUUUUUCUGACCCAAACCCUCACUUCCUCCUUCUCAUCUACAAACUCUCCAGUUCUCACAAAUAUCACUUUGAGUUGAACCCACACCCACCAUCGCUCCAUUUUUGCCGUCGUUGCUCCAAUCGAAGAAGUCACUCGCCAUCGCCGUCUCCUCUCAUCAUCUCGUCGCCGCUGCCUCUAUCUCAAUUUCAGUAAUCUUUUUGAUCUGAUGAAACCAGACCUCAUCUUUGGUUUUCAAAUUCUCGCUCCUCCCUGCCUUUCAAUCUUACAAGGUUGUUUGCUCUUCCAAUCAAGCAUUGAAGAUUCUUUUCAGAUUGGACAUGAGAUUGCAUCUGAAAUUACUGCUAUGAAACCAAAUCCAAUUGUUUGGAAGAUGGAAAAAGUUUAUAGCCCGUGCUUCCUCCUUAUUAAGAAGCGUUAUGUUGGUUACAGUUAUGAAAGCCCUGAACAGAUUGCCCAUGACAGUUCGCAGGGAUACAUGUGGGGCUGUUGCCAAGACAAUGGAGCAGUCUUUGAGACUUUUUUUUGAACAUCAGGAUAUGUAUGAGGUACAAAAGCAUGUGCUAUUCCUUUUGAUUGUACUUGAACUGGUUUGAUAAAAUCAAGGGUGAAGAGCAAAAGAUAGGACGUCCAUUGGUUGUUAGAGCAUACUUACAGCGUCAAUGGAAGCGGAUUCUAUCUGGAAGGGUGUCUCUUCAGGAUUUUGUAUUUGCAAAGGAGGUUCGCCUUGGCACCUACCGUGCUUGUAUCUAUUUUUCUGUUCUUAUUUCAUUACUGUCUGUCAUGUAUUGCCUUCUUGAUAUAUUUGAUUUAACACAUUGACUAAAACUUUGUUUUGGAAACAGAACUAGCUCUGUUCUUGUUUUGGCAGGAUAAACAAACAAUGUUAUUAUUAAUGGGAAGUAGCAGCAGCCCAGCAUUAGUGAAGAUUCAAAGGAAGCUAUGAAGCAUGCAUUCGAACUCUUUAAUGUUCGAUUGGAAGUAGACUUUGGGACUAGUGAUAUAGGACAUAGCUUAGGAUUGUAAUGAAUAUUUGUAAUUUAUUACAUUUGUCUUUUAUUAA